This is a transfer RNA of Camelus ferus (Wild Bactrian camel), 72 nucleotides long. It matches the Rfam family "tRNA". Rfam says of the family: Transfer RNA (tRNA) molecules are approximately 80 nucleotides in length. Their secondary structure includes four short double-helical elements and three loops (D, anti-codon, and T loops). Lineage: Eukaryota; Metazoa; Chordata; Mammalia; Artiodactyla; Camelidae. The record is from Rfam.
GAGGGUAUAGCUCAGUGGUAGAGUGUGUGCCUAGAAUGCAUGAGGUCCUGGGUUCAAUCUCCAGUACGUCUA